RNAcentral lists this ribosomal RNA (667 nucleotides) under uncultured Lobariaceae. RNAcentral describes it as "eukaryotic LSU rRNA". The stretch from base 247 to 667 matches the Rfam family "Eukaryotic large subunit ribosomal RNA", at positions 1 to 427 of the family's 3401-position model. Lineage: Eukaryota; Fungi; Ascomycota; Lecanoromycetes; Lecanorales. The record is from RNAcentral.
AUGUGAAUGCAGAAUUCAGUGAAUCAUCGAAUCUUUGAACGCACAUUGCGCCUCUCGGUACUCCGGGGGGCAUGCCUGUUCGAGCGUCAUUACCCCACUCAAGCUCGGCUUGAUGUUGGGCCUUCGUCCCCGUGGACGUGCCCGGAAACCAGUGGCGGCGCGGCCCGGCUUCAAGCGGUAUCAGUUCAAUCUUCGCUUUGGAAGUCCCGGGUCUGUGCCUGCCAGAAAACCCCCACCACUCAAGGUUGACCUCGGAUCAGGUAGGGAUACCCGCUGAACUUAAGCAUAUCAAUAAGCGGAGGAAAAGAAACCAACAGGGAUUGCCUCAGUAACGGCGAGUGAAGCGGCAACAGCUCAAAUUUGAAAUCUGGCCCUUCUGGGGUCCGAGUUGUAAUUUGCAGAGGAUGCUUCGGGCUCGGCUCCGGUCUAAGUUCCUUGGAACAGGACGUCGCAGAGGGUGAGAAUCCCGUAUGUGACCGGCCGUCAGGGCCCGUGUGAAGCUCCUUCGACGAGUCGAGUGGUUUGGGAAUGCAGCUCAAAAUGGGUGGUAAAUCUCAUCUAAAGCUAAAUAUCGGCCAGAGACCGAUAGCGCACAAGUAGAGUGAUCGAAAGAUGAAAGCACUUGGAAGAGAGUCUACAGUCGUGAUAUGUGAUGGAAUCAAAAAAA